AUACGGAGGGUGCAAGCGUUGUUCGGAAUCACUGGGCGUAAAGGGCGCGCAGGCGGUUUGGUAAGUCAGAUGUGAAAGCCCACGGCUCAACCGUGGAAGUGCAUUUGAAACUGCCAGACUUGAGUACCAGAGGGGAAAGUGGAAUUCCCGGUGUAGAGGUGAAAUUCGUAGAUAUCGGGAGGAAUACCGGUGGCGAAGGCGACUUUCUGGCUGGAUACUGACGCUGAGGCGCGAAAGCGAGGGGAGCAAACAGGAUUAGAAACCCUAGUAGUCC
This 274-nucleotide ribosomal RNA is filed under the name uncultured bacterium. RNAcentral's name for it is "partial 16S ribosomal RNA". It matches the Rfam family "Bacterial small subunit ribosomal RNA", at positions 523 to 796 of the family's 1533-position model. The record is from RNAcentral.